Elaeis guineensis (African oil palm) is the source of this 85-nucleotide small nucleolar RNA. RefSeq annotates it as small nucleolar RNA Z221/R21b. The record is from RefSeq and is a predicted model, not a curated record. NCBI's taxonomy places the organism in Eukaryota, Viridiplantae, Streptophyta, Magnoliopsida, Arecales, Arecaceae.
AGGCUGUGAUGAGAGACAAUGUCAUGCACCACUCUGAUUCAAUCAGUGCUGACAAUCGACUUGUAACCGAUAUUUAUCUGAGCCU